This 245-nucleotide ribosomal RNA is filed under the name uncultured Blautia sp. Its description in RNAcentral is "partial 16S ribosomal RNA". It matches the Rfam family "Bacterial small subunit ribosomal RNA", at positions 524 to 768 of the family's 1533-position model. The record is from RNAcentral. Lineage: Bacteria; Bacillati; Bacillota; Clostridia; Lachnospirales; Lachnospiraceae.
UACGUAGGGGGCAAGCGUUAUCCGGAUUUACUGGGUGUAAAGGGAGCGUAGACGGUGUGGCAAGUCUGAUGUGAAAGGCAUGGGCUCAACCUGUGGACUGCAUUGGAAACUGUCAUACUUGAGUGCCGGAGGGGUAAGCGGAAUUCCUAGUGUAGCGGUGAAAUGCGUAGAUAUUAGGAGGAACACCAGUGGCGAAGGCGGCUUACUGGACGGUAACUGACGUUGAGGCUCGAAAGCGUGGGGAG